AGGUCAAUAAUUCAAUGGUAGAAUAACCCACUCAUAAUGGGUUUGUUGCGUGUUCAAAUCAUGCUUGACCUA
The sequence is a transfer RNA, 72 nucleotides long. It matches the Rfam family "tRNA". From Rfam's summary of the family: Transfer RNA (tRNA) molecules are approximately 80 nucleotides in length. Their secondary structure includes four short double-helical elements and three loops (D, anti-codon, and T loops). Further hydrogen bonds mediate the characteristic L-shaped molecular structure. tRNAs have two regions of fundamental functional importance: the anti-codon, which is responsible for specific mRNA codon recognition, and the 3' end, to which the tRNAs corresponding amino acid is attached (by aminoacyl-tRNA synthetases). tRNAs cope with the degeneracy of the genetic code in two manners: having more than one tRNA (with a specific anti-codon) for a particular amino acid; and 'wobble' base-pairing, i.e. permitting non-standard base-pairing at the 3rd anti-codon position.